GGGGAAGCUGUGGAAAUCUCUCGUUUACACCGAGAAUGUCGACGGUUCGAGCCCGUCAUCGCCCA
RNAcentral lists this transfer RNA (65 nucleotides) under Sphingomonas faeni. RNAcentral's name for it is "tRNA-Val". Lineage: Bacteria; Pseudomonadati; Pseudomonadota; Alphaproteobacteria; Sphingomonadales; Sphingomonadaceae. The record is from RNAcentral.